GAUUAUGGCUCAGAACGAACGCUGGCGGCAUGCCUAACACAUGCAAGUCGAACGAGACCUUCGGGUCUAGUGGCGCACGGGUGCGUAACGCGUGGGAAUCUGCCCCUCGGUUGGGAAUAACACAGAGAAAUUUGUGCUAAUACCUUAUAAUGUCUUCGGACCAAAGAUUUAUCGCCGAGGGAUGAGCCCGCGUAGGAUUAGGUAGUUGGUGGGGUAAUGGCCUACCAAGCCGACGAUCCUUAGCUGGUCUGAGAGGAUGAUCAGCCACACUGGGACUGAGACACGGCCCAGACUCCUACGGGAGGCAGCAGUGGGGAAUAUUGGACAAUGGGCGAAAGCCUGAUCCCAGCAAUGCCGCGUGAGUGAUGAAGGCCUUAGGGUUGUAAAGCUCUUUUACCCGGGAUGAUAAUGACAGUACCGGGAGAAUAAGCUCCGGCUAACUCCGUGCCAGCCGCCGC
RNAcentral lists this ribosomal RNA (458 nucleotides) under uncultured bacterium. RNAcentral describes it as "bacterial SSU rRNA". It matches the Rfam family "Bacterial small subunit ribosomal RNA", at positions 15 to 518 of the family's 1533-position model. The record is from RNAcentral.